GCCGGGAUGAUCCUGGUGGUCCGGGGUGCAGGCUUCAAACCUGUAGCCGAUUGACGUCGGAGUGGUUCGAUUCCACCUUCUGGC
This 84-nucleotide transfer RNA is filed under the name Fasciola gigantica. RNAcentral's name for it is "Selenocysteine transfer RNA". It matches the Rfam family "Selenocysteine transfer RNA". The record is from Rfam by way of RNAcentral. Lineage: Eukaryota; Metazoa; Platyhelminthes; Trematoda; Plagiorchiida; Fasciolidae.